GGUGCUCCCCUGUAGACCCAGCACUUGGGAGGCUGAGGGAGAAUGAACCCCAAAAGUUCAAGGCCAGCCUGGACUACAUAAUGAGACCUUGUCUUAAAAAAAAAAAAAAAAAAAAAAAAAAAAAAAAAAA
Molecule: long non-coding RNA, 130 nt
Filed under: Chinchilla lanigera (long-tailed chinchilla)
Lineage: Eukaryota; Metazoa; Chordata; Mammalia; Rodentia; Chinchillidae
Description: lncRNA (ENSCLAG00000026815.1)
Source: RNAcentral